Molecule: transfer RNA, 83 nt
Filed under: Butyrivibrio sp.
Lineage: Bacteria; Bacillati; Bacillota; Clostridia; Lachnospirales; Lachnospiraceae
Also listed under: 1 other name
Description: tRNA-Leu
Rfam family: tRNA
About the family: Transfer RNA (tRNA) molecules are approximately 80 nucleotides in length.
Source: RNAcentral
GCAGGAGUGGCGGAAUGGCAGACGCGCAUGGUUCAGGUCCAUGUGAUAGCAAUAUCAUGAGGGUUCAAGUCCCUUCUCCUGCA